Long non-coding RNA from Phyllopteryx taeniolatus (common seadragon), 1583 nucleotides. RefSeq lists it as uncharacterized. Lineage: Eukaryota; Metazoa; Chordata; Actinopteri; Syngnathiformes; Syngnathidae. The transcript is spliced from 7 exons. The record is from RefSeq and is a predicted model, not a curated record.
AUUACCGGUACAUGUCUUAAUAAUUGUCAGUAUAGCAGCAACAGGCAUAUGCAGUGACACAUUAGUUGCAGACCAAACUCUGUUAAGAUCAAUGCAUAUGCAAUUAUCUUUUCAAGUAAUACAUUGCAUACAUCGGUAAUAAAUCUCAUGAAAGGCAAACCUAUCCAUUCACUUUCCCGAGUGCUUGUUCUCAUGAUGGUCACGGUGAGCUGGAGUCUAUCCCAGCUGACUUUGGGUGAGAGGCUGUGCACCCUUGGCUGGUCGGCAGCCAAUUGCAGGGCAAAAAUAAACAAACAGCCGUUCGCACUCACAUUCACAGCUAUGGACAAUUUAGAGUUUUCAGUGAACCUGCAGAGAUGCUAGUUGACGGUCGAAGACAAGAUAAUAAGGUCUUGAGUCUUCUCCGGGAGCCGAACCUGCUGCAGAUCGAUGUCAAGACUGUUGCCUUUAAAGUUGUGCCAUGCCUUGUUAAAUCUUUUUGGUGGACGGUGAAUCUGAAAUCUGCCCAGUCAUUAUUGGACGACACAGACGCACGUUGGCCCUUCUGAUGUAGAGAAAAGAUCAACUUUGCUGUUGUUUCCGUCAUCUCCCAAAAGAGACAAGAGCCGAGCUUCUCCUCUUGAAGUUCGACACGCCACCUCCAAUUUUGGAAGUCUUGACGAGUGAGAGAAGUCGAGUGUUGUUACUUGCCGGAAGACGUGUGAAAAUGUCUGCAAAUUCUGCUUUCUGAAGUGCACCAUUGAGCACCAGCUUUGAGCCUCGCUGGCUCCGCAUCGGCAGUCUCCACGUUUUCACUCACAACUCAUCGACUACAGGAGCUUGUUUUGUGGCCCUAUACUCAUACAGUACACCCCAGAGUUUUGGAUGCGCAUCAGCAACUUGGAAAUAGUCUUUCUGGACCUGAAACGUCUGCCUGAGGGCAGGCGUUCAAACAGUUUGUGUCCAGGGUGUGAUGGAUCCUGGAGAAUUCUCUUGAUAUUCCCAAGGCAACGGGAACCGUGUAGAUCUUCAAGUGAAGGGAGAGGGCAGCCAACUAUCUGCUGGGCGACCUGUACGACCGCAGUCAGUGCUACUGCUCUACCCAUAUUAUUUUCGGCUCCACCAGAAGAUGGCUGACUUAAAUGGCGCGUAGCUGCAAGCAUAAUAACCAGCAUGGAACUGACCAGAGAAACAAGUAUGAAACUGGUGUCGUGGGUCAGAUGGUGCCUAUCCAAGCCGACUUUGGCCGAGAGGCUGGGUACACCCUGGAGUGGUCGCCAGGCAAUGAGCUGGCAAGAUGGCGAGGAUCGAAGUGAGGCUCUUAUUUCAUCGACCGGCCGAGACAAGAUCUAAGGAGAACUACUUCCUCGGAGGCGUCCACCUGCGGCUCUUCAUUUCAUUAAAUGGACUCUCAUGCAGUUUUAACUAACAUCGUACAGCAUCAUACCAUGUGAUAAUGUUGUCCACUCGGCAUCCAGGAAGAGGGAUCUGUUAUCCCUUUUUAAGGUUUCUCCUAUUCCCCCCUAUUCCUUUUCCUUGUCUAUCUAAGCCAGCCGAUUUUUGUGAACUGUUGGCCUGUGAGGUCCUUUGAGACAAUUUUGUGA